CCCAGAGAAAAACUACUCAACUCUUUAGUGAGUCUGGCUGUGUAUCGGGUUGAUUAACUGCAAAGCCAGCAUAGAUGUGUUCUUCCUAGUGUUACAUCAUCAGCUGUUCCUUCCUCAAACAAGCCCUCCUGAAUCCUUCCUCUUCUGGCUCCCCUGAGGUUGUUGAAAGUGAAUUUGUUAUUUGCCAUCAAAAAAAUACUAACAGCUUCCCAAAUGCUAGGACUAAAGGUGAGACUGAAAAACACAACAGAUGGACUGAACUGAAAAUCACAAAGUCGUCCUUUAAAGUUUCUUAUCCUAGUUUACUAUUUCCCUAGCGUUUGGACCCUAGUAGGUGACAAGGGACAAUAAGUUUUACAAAUUCAGAGUUCUUCUCAAAUAAGUGUCCAAAAGGUCAUGGUUCCGAAGAGAAACAAAAUCCCCAACACAGAAAACUGUCAACAUCAUCUUGUUAUGACCUUAAUGAUGACGUCGUAGGCUCUGGACCAGAGAGACUUCAAGGCUGCUGCGGGCGCAGCAGUAGUGACUAUAGCCCGAGCACAAGCCUCACCUGCGCAGGGGAACAAGGCGCUUACACCCAAGAUUCCCACUCAGCCGAACUGGCCCUGGAAUCCAACUUGAAUUUUGGAAGUACCUUCAGCAGGAAGCUGUGUGGGUAGACAAUCAGACCUGUUUUUGCGGCACAUAUUUCAAUCUACAGGUCUUGCUACCAGCUACAGAACUCCAGGGAAAGGCUGAGGACCACCAACUUGAGUCUUCGGCUGAAGGGCCAUCCCAGGGAAACUCAACAAGUUCUGCACACCACGCCGGCCUGCCGCCCCCAAGCAGGGGAGAGACCGAGUCGCUACGCAGAAUUCUAAAAUUGUGUGGCUAGUACACAUCACUCAACUAAUGUGGAAGACGGACUCAGGGUAUUGCAGCUCUCUUAACACCUGAUCCAGGGCACUUCAAAGAUGAACCAAAAACUUUGUUAUGAAAAAUACUUUUUGAUUUCCACAAAGCUUCUCUGUUAUAGAUGUGUGAUGAUCAUGGAUGAAUUAGGCCCAUUUGCUCUACAUUUACAAGACUUAUAUGAGACUGCAAUCAGCCAACCUGAAAAUACCAGCAUCUACCACUGGCUUUAAAAAAACAGCUGUGUGCUUAGAGGAUUUGAUUUGGCAAUUCUAUUUCUGAAGAAUCUAGCCAAGUGCUUCCAGACAUGGAAUAGGAAGGAACAUUCUGUAUACAGAAUGAAUGUUUGCCCUGAUUCCAGAUGUUGAAACCCAUGCUCAGUGUGGUGAUUUAAAGAGGUGGGGUAUUGGAGAAGUGACCGAGCCAGAAGAGCAGAGCUCUCAACAGUGAAAUUAGUGCCUCAUGAAAGUGCCUGAGAAAAAAUUUUACCCCUUAAAAACUCAGUCUAUGAAACGAGGGGCCUUCAACGGACACCAAGUCAGUUGCUGGCACUGCCUUUGACUUCCCAGGCGGAGAAGAAAUGUUUCAAGCGUACUGAUGUAAUCUAACCUUAUAUGUUUACACAGUCCCCUAGCUGGUGUAGCAGCGCACACCUGUAAUUCCACUACUUAGGAGACAGAGGCAGGAGGAACUGCUGAAAAUUCAAGGCCAAUCUGAGCUACGUACUGAGUUCCAGGCUGAGCUGAUCUACGGUGAGACCCUGUCUCAACCAUUCUCAGCCAGGAAUGGAGGCAUAGUCCUGUAACUCCAUCACUUGGGAGGCUGAAGGAGGAUUGGGAAUUCAUGGUCAUCUUCAGCUUUAUAGCAAGUUCGAGGCCAGCCUGAACUAUAUCAGACCCUAACUCAACAAACCAAACAGCCAAUAAAACAAACAAAAAAUUUCCAAAAUUUCCAAAAUGAAACAUGAAACUUCUUGCUGUAACUUCCUGAGGAUUCCCAGUGUACAAUGACACACACAUUCGCAUUGCAAUGGUGUUCUCAAAUAAAUACCAUUCUUUUAAACAGGUUGACACUUGCAUCUACUGAGAGCUUGAUGUUUGCUCUGCACCGUGACUACUGAUCUUUCCUUCUGUGCAGCUUUCAUUGGUCUUUCCAGACUCCCUUUACAUUUAAUCUUCAACCAUCUGGGCAGGUCUUUAUGACCUGAUCCUCGUCCUCCCAGCUGACUACAGACACUCAGACUUGCACUUCCUGGCGUUCUUGUGGGAUUCCUGAACUGGGCAUUGCACCUGAAGAGUCCUGGUCAAGGCGCGGGCAUGCUCGUCAGCACUGCAAAGUGAGUUGAACGAGAAGGUGUGAGGUCA
Long non-coding RNA from Mastomys coucha (southern multimammate mouse), 2255 nucleotides. RefSeq lists it as uncharacterized. NCBI's taxonomy places the organism in Eukaryota, Metazoa, Chordata, Mammalia, Rodentia, Muridae. The transcript is spliced from 4 exons. The record is from RefSeq and is a predicted model, not a curated record.